GAUGAACGCUAGCGGCAGGCUUAAUACAUGCAAGUCGAACGGGAAUUGGGUAGCAAUACCUGAUGAUAGUGGCGCACGGGUGCGUAACGCGUAUGCAACCUACCUUUAACAGGGGGAUAGCCCGGAGAAAUUCGGAUUAAUACCCCAUAGUAUUAUGGAGAGGCAUCUUUUCAUGAUUAAAGUUCCGGCGGUUAAAGAUGGGCAUGCGUGCCAUUAGCUAGUUGGUGAGGUAACGGCUCACCAAGGCGACGAUGGUUAGGGGUCCUGAGAGGGUUAUCCCCCACACUGGUACUGAGACACGGACCAGACUCCUACGGGAGGCAGCAGUAAGGAAUAUUGGUCAAUGGGCGGAAGCCUGAACCAGCCAUGCCGCGUGCAGGAAAACGGCCUUAUGGGUUGUAAACUGCUUUUGUCAGGGAAUAAACCCUCGUUUGCGAACGAGGCUGAAGGUACCUGAAGAAUAAGCAUCGGCUAACUCCGUGCCAGCAGCCGCGGUAAAACGUAG
Molecule: ribosomal RNA, 505 nt
Filed under: uncultured bacterium
Lineage: Bacteria
Description: bacterial SSU rRNA
Rfam family: Bacterial small subunit ribosomal RNA
Source: RNAcentral